RNAcentral lists this long non-coding RNA (317 nucleotides) under Capsicum annuum. RNAcentral's name for it is "long non-coding RNA (CANN_LNC022370)". Lineage: Eukaryota; Viridiplantae; Streptophyta; Magnoliopsida; Solanales; Solanaceae. The record is from RNAcentral.
GGUGGGGUCUGGGAAGGAUUGGAUGUAAUGACACCAAAAUAACAUGAUCAUAAACAAAGAAAAUAUAAGUAUAAAUAUAAAUAUUUGUUGGAAUCCCACAUCGGUGGGUCAAAGGAUCCUUGGUCUCCUUAUAUGGUCUUAGGUAAUCCUCCCCUCAUGAGCUAGUUUUUGAGGUUGAGUUAGGCCCAAGGUCCAUUUCUUUAUCACAGUAUCAGAGUCAGGCCCACCUAGUUCAUUGUUUCCGAUGUUGGCCCCCCGUCUUAUAUUGUUCACGCUCUAGAUGUCCAACCCUGGGCAUGCGGGGGUGUUGGAGUCCC